ACAAGCGGUGGAGUAUGUGGUUAAUUCGACGCAACGCGCAGAACCUUACCUAGGCUUGACGAUCCCGGGAAUUUGCUGGAAACAGUGAAGUGCUUCAUUAGAAAGAGCCCGGUGACAGGUGCUGCAUGGCUGUCGUCAGCUCGUGUCGUGAGAUGUUGGGUUAAGUCCCGCAACGAGCGCAACCCUCAUCUCUAGUUGCCAGCGAUUCGGUCGGGGACUCUAGAGAUACUGCCCCGGUUAACGGGAGGAAGGUGGGGAUGACGUCAAGUCCUCAUGGCCCUUAUGCCCAGGGCUACACACGUGCUACAAUGGGCGGUACAAAGGGUAGCGAUGCCGCGAGGCGAAGCCAAUCCCAAAAAGCCGUCCUCAGUUCGGAUUGGAGUCUGCAACUCGACUCCAUGAAGCCGGAAUCGCUAGUAAUCGCGGAUCAGCAUGCCCGCGGUCCGAAUACGUUCCGGCCUU
This 462-nucleotide ribosomal RNA is filed under the name uncultured Desulfobacterium sp. RNAcentral's name for it is "bacterial SSU rRNA". It matches the Rfam family "Bacterial small subunit ribosomal RNA", at positions 925 to 1374 of the family's 1533-position model. The record is from RNAcentral. Lineage: Bacteria; Pseudomonadati; Thermodesulfobacteriota; Desulfobacteria; Desulfobacterales; Desulfobacteriaceae.